CGCUGGCGACAGCGGCGGAAUGGCAGCAGGCGCUGGCGUAGGCAUCGCCAUAGUCGUGUUGGUGAUCCUCGUGCUGGUGGUCGGUCUUCUGGUUUUCAGGUCCAGCUUCCAGCGGCGCAAAAAACUGCGUAGACUCCAAGUCCCUGUGCGGCCUCCGGUUCCCGACACCCUUCCGUUACAUCCGCUGCAACCUGCCCGACAUCCGCAGCAGGAUCAGAACGCACAGCAGCGAGAUGCUCAUCAGGGAGCUGCAAACUGCAG
This is a long non-coding RNA of Hyalella azteca, 261 nucleotides long. RefSeq lists it as uncharacterized. The transcript has 3 exons. The record is from RefSeq and is a predicted model, not a curated record. Lineage: Eukaryota; Metazoa; Arthropoda; Malacostraca; Amphipoda; Hyalellidae.